UCAGGGUAAAGUCAGCUGUCAACAAAUGACAAAUCUUCAAGUUUUAAUUUUACUAUUUGAAAAUUUGAACCACUUUUAGGUUAAGAUAGAUUGUAGGAAUAGGAAUUUAUUCGUUAAAUUUUGGCUGAAAGUGAAUCAUUUUUAUUAAUGUAUCAUCUUAAAAUAUGUCUUCAGCUUUAAUCAGACAGGCGUUGGAAUUUGUCGACCCAGAAGAACACAGCAAACUAAAAAAGCGUGGUAAGAAACGUUCGAGGUCUGCAGGUCAAGCAGUUCCUCAUCCAUACAAAAGUAGAAGUGGAAAAACGAACAACACAAUUAAUGAUAAUAAAGUUGACCAGAAUAUAAAAAAGUUGCUAGUUCUUUCCGAACCUGCAGCAGAUCCCAAUAUUGUUGAAAAAAUUAUACAAAGGGCUAAAAAGCAAAAACCUUUACUUGAGAACACAGAAGUGAAAAAAGGUAAAGAAAAAUCCAUCCUUUUCCCUGAAGAAAAACAAUCAUUUCAAGACUUUGAAAAAGAAUUGUUUUGUAGCUGAAUUACAUAAUUAUAUUAAAAAAUAUAUGUAUAUGGACAUUCCUGAUGCAGUCGUGGGAAAAUUUAUAUUAAUUUCUACGGCCACUCUAUUUAUUUUGACCACUCUCUGGAUAAACACAUACCCAUUUUUGGAUGAAGAUUCUGCUGUUUAUGAAUUGAUCCCAAAUCCAAAGUGGUUUCUACUAUUCUGCGCUGUUUGGGGACUGUUCUUCAUAGGGGGCCUAAUGUCCUUCACCCUGUACCACAUUUACCCUUAUUUAUAGAUCUGAGCCACAAAAAAUCAAUUCAGUAUCGUACAACAAACUUUGUUCCACCAUCAGCAAAUUUGAGCCAAAAUUCAAAUAUGCCUGGCAAAGAUUGGAUCAUAAUCGGCAUUUCCGGGGUCACUUGUGGCGGAAAAACGACCCUUGCCAAUAAGUUAAAGAAUGCCCUAACACCAGUCUACGUGUUUCAUCAAGACAAAUAUUUUUAUCCUGACGACAGUCCGAAACACAUUAAGUGCGAAGGGUUAGACCACAACGACUACGAUGUGCUGUCGUCGCUGGACAUGGAGACCAUGUACGAUGACAUCACGAAGACCUUGAGCGGCGAGGACAGGUCGCAUGCCAACCGUUUGGAGGGAACAUCCACCGUAGCCGGUACAAAGUUCUUGGUGAUUGAAGGUUUCACGGUGUUAAAUUAUAAACCUAUUAUGGAGAUCUGUGAUUUGAGAUACUACUUCAUCCUAGAGUACGGGGAGUGCGUGUCCCGCCGCGUGCUGCGACUGUACGACCCGCCAGACGUCGCCGGGUACUUCGACACGUGCGUGUGGCCGCGGCACUUGUACUACAGGGCGCAGGUAGGGUGCGACCGCGGCACUUGUACUACAGGGCGCAGGUAGGGUGCGACAGCGGCACUUGUACUACAGAGCGCAGGUAGGGUGCGACCGCGGCACUUGUACUACAGGGCGCAGGUAGGGUGCGACCGCGGCACUUGUACUACAGAGCGCAGGUAGGGUGCGACCGCGGCACUUGUACUACAGAGCGCAGGUAGGGUGCGACCGCGGCACUUGUACUACAGGGCGCAGGUAGGGUGCGACAGCGGCACUUGUACUACAGAGCGCAGGUAGGGUGCGACCGCGGCACUUGUACUACAGGGCGCAGGUAGGGUGCGACCGCGGCACUUGUACUACAGAGCGCAGGUAGGGUGCGACCGCGGCACUUGUACUACAGAGCGCAGGUAGGGUGCGACCGCGGCACUUGUACUACAGGGCGCAGGUAGGGUGCGACCGCGGCACUUGUACUACAGAGCGCAGGUAGGGUGCGACCGCGGCACUUGUACUACAGGGCACGCUUUGUUGUCGUUUCAGAUAGAGAAGGACCGGCGCGUGAAGUUGCUGGACGCGACGCAGCAGGACUCGUUCGAGGUCGUCAUGGCGGACAUCGACGCCCUCACGCGGUGAGCCCGGUGGGCCACGAGAUUGGCGGCCACAAUUAAAUGUAUCAAUAUAAACGGUAUAUCAUCGCAAAGUCAAUCUCGUAUGUCCCGACAGAAGGCGCAAAGACUUCAGUCCCAUGAGGUCGCUAGUUUCAAUACAAGUUUUUAAUCAAAUUUCAAAUUGAAUUUAAAUUGAUGAUUACGCUGGCGACGGCUCCCGCAAGUCUUGUUGUAUUGCUAUACAGCAACCAAUAUUGGUUUCUACAAAGUUUUCAAAAAAAUAUGUUAUUUCAUCGGUGGUCCAUAACGCGAAUAUUGGGAAUAUUCUUUUGGUAGACUGUCGGUACUAUAACAAUGACACUGUCGAAAACCGUGCGCCGGUUGAUAAAUGACCUAAAUGUAUAUCUAAUGUUUCUAUUUACUUUUGUAAUAAUUUUAUAUGGUUAAAUUGUAAUUUAAUUAUUAUUAACGGAAAAUAAAGAAAUAUAGACGUA
Bombyx mori (domestic silkworm) is the source of this 2442-nucleotide RNA transcript. It is a transcript of the gene named nicotinamide riboside kinase 2, with no coding region annotated. The record is from RefSeq and is a predicted model, not a curated record. Lineage: Eukaryota; Metazoa; Arthropoda; Insecta; Lepidoptera; Bombycidae. The transcript has 7 exons.